This 253-nucleotide ribosomal RNA is filed under the name uncultured bacterium. RNAcentral's name for it is "partial 16S ribosomal RNA". It matches the Rfam family "Bacterial small subunit ribosomal RNA", at positions 524 to 776 of the family's 1533-position model. The record is from RNAcentral.
UACGUAGGGUGCAAGCGUUAAUCGGAAUUACUGGGCGUAAAGCGCGCGUAGGUGGUUUGUUAAGUUGAAUGUGAAAGCCCCGGGCUCAACCUGGGAACUGCAUCCAAAACUGGCAAGCUAGAGUACGGUAGAGGGUGGUGGAAUUUCCUGUGUAGCGGUGAAAUGCGUAGAUAUAGGAAGGAACACCAGUGGCGAAGGCGACCACCUGGACUGAUACUGACACUGAGGUGCGAAAGCGUGGGGAGCAAACAGG